Molecule: ribosomal RNA, 497 nt
Filed under: uncultured bacterium
Lineage: Bacteria
Description: partial 16S ribosomal RNA
Rfam family: Bacterial small subunit ribosomal RNA
Source: RNAcentral
GAUGAACGCUGGCGGCGUGCCUAAUACAUGCAAGUCGAGCGAACAGACGAGGAGCUUGCUCCUCUGACGUUAGCGGCGGACGGGUGAGUAACACGUGGAUAACCUACCUAUAAGACUGGGAUAACUUCGGGAAACCGGAGCUAAUACCGGAUAAUAUAUUGAACCGCAUGGUUCAAUAGUGAAAGACGGUUUUGCUGUCACUUAUAGAUGGAUCCGCGCCGCAUUAGCUAGUUGGUAAGGUAACGGCUUACCAAGGCGACGAUGCGUAGCCGACCUGAGAGGGUGAUCGGCCACACUGGAACUGAGACACGGUCCAGACUCCUACGGGAGGCAGCAGAAGGGAAUCUUCCGCAAAGGGCGAAAGCUUGACGGAGCAACGCCGCGUGAGUGAUGAAGGUCUUCGGAUCGUAAAACUCUGUUAUUAGGGAAGAACAAAUGUGUAAGUAAAUAUGCACGUCUUGACGGUACCUAAUCAGAAAGCCACGGCUAACUACGUG